GCCUGGGUGGCUCAGUCGGUUGAGCAUCCGACUUCAGCUCAGGUCAGGAUCUCGCCGUGUGUGAGUUCGAGCCCCACAUCAGGCU
RNAcentral lists this transfer RNA (85 nucleotides) under Felis catus (domestic cat). It matches the Rfam family "tRNA". Rfam says of the family: Transfer RNA (tRNA) molecules are approximately 80 nucleotides in length. Their secondary structure includes four short double-helical elements and three loops (D, anti-codon, and T loops). Lineage: Eukaryota; Metazoa; Chordata; Mammalia; Carnivora; Felidae. The record is from Rfam by way of RNAcentral.